Molecule: ribosomal RNA, 2298 nt
Filed under: human gut metagenome
Description: bacterial LSU rRNA
Rfam family: Bacterial large subunit ribosomal RNA
Source: RNAcentral
UACGAGAUGUAGAGAGGUCUCGUGGGCUCGGAGAUGUGUAUAAGAGACAGAGUUCGAACAGAGCGUUCAGUCGUUAGGCGUAGACCCGAAACCAGAUGAUCUAUCCAUGGCCAGGUUGAAGGUGUGGUAACACACACUGGAGGACCGAACCGACUAGUGUUGCAAAAUUAGCGGAUGAGCUGUGGAUAGGGGUGAAAGGCUAAACAAAUCUGGAGAUAGCUGGUUCUCCCCGAAAACUAUUGAGGUAGUGCCUCGUGUAUGACUCCAGGGGGUAGAGCACUGUUAUGGCUAGGGGGACAUGGCGUCUUACCAAACCAUGGCAAACUCCGAAUACUUGGAAGUUUGAGCACGGGAGACAGAGCACCGGGUGCUAACGUCCGGACUCAAGAGGGAAACAACCCAGACCGCCGGCUAAGGUCCCUAAUAUUGACUAAGUGGAAAACGAAGUGGAAAGGCUAAGACAGUCAGGAAGUUGGCUUAGAAGCAGCCAUCCUUCAAAGAAAGCGUAAUAGCUCACUGAUCGAGUCUUUCUGCGCGGAAGAUGUAACGGGGCUAAGUCAAUAACCGAAGCCGCGGAUUCACACUUAUGUGUGAGUGGUAGGGGAGCGUUCUGUAAGCCUGCGAAGGUGACUCGUAAGGGUUGCUGGAGGUAUCAGAAGUGCGAAUGCUGACAUGAGUAACGUUAAAGCGGGUGAAAAGCCCGCUCGCCGUAAGCCCAAGGUUUCCUGCUCUACGUUCAUCGGAGCAGGGUGAGUCGGCCCCUAAGGUGAGGCUGAGAAGCGUAACUGAUGGGAACAAGGUUAAUAUUCCUUGACCACCGCUGAAUGCGAAGGGGGGACGGAGUAUUGAAGAUCAUCCGGGUGUUGGAUAUCCCGGUUUGCGAGCGUAGGAGGCUGACAGGCAAAUCCGUCAGCGAAUCUCCGAGGCAAAGCAUCGAGCUCUCUUUUGAGCGAAGUGAUUGGAUGUGCUUCCAGGAAAAGCCUCUAAGCUCCAGUUCAGCGGGACCGUACCGCAAACCGACACUGGUGGGCGAGCUGAAUAUGCUCAGGCGCUUGAGAGAACUCAGGAGAAGGAACUCGGCAAAUUGACACCGUAACUUCGGGAUAAGGUGUGCCUUUGUAGCGUGGAGGGAGAAACACCCCGAGCGCGAAGAGGUCUCAGAUAAUCGGUGGCUGCGACUGUUUAUUAAAAACACAGCACUCUGCAAAGACGAAAGUCGACGUAUAGGGUGUGAUGCCUGCCCGGUGCUGGAAGAUUAAUUGAUGGGGUGCAAGCUCCUGAUCGAAGUCCCAGUAAACGGCGGCCGUAACUAUAACGGUCCUAAGGUAGCGAAAUUCCUUGUCGGGCAAGUUCCGACCUGCACGAAUGGCAUAACGAUGGCCACACUGUCUCCUCCUGAGACUCAGUGAAGUUGAAGUGUUUGUGAUGAUGCAAUCUCCCCGCGGCUAGACGGAAAGACCCCAUGAACCUUUACUGUAGCUUUGCAUUGGACUUUGAACCGAUCUGUGUAGGAUAGGCGGGAGCCUGUGAAACCACAACGCCAGUUGUGGCGGAGGCGUCCUUGAAAUACCGCCCUGAUUUGUUUGAGGUUCUAACCUGGGACAGUUAUCCUGUCCGGGGACCGUGCAUGGUAGGCAGUUUGACUGGGGCGGUCUCCUCCUAAAGGGUAACGGAGGAGUGCGAAGGUACGCUAGGUACGGUCGGAAAUCGUGCUGAUAGUGCAAUGGCAAAAGCGUGCUUGACUGCGAGACCCACAAGUCGAGCAGAUACGAAAGUAGGUCAUAGUGAUCCGGUGGCUCUGUAUGGAAGGGCCAUCGCUCAACGGAUAAAAGGUACUCUGGGGAUAACAGGCUGAUACCGCCCAAGAGUUCAUAUCGACGGCGGUGUUUGGCACCUCGAUGUCGGCUCAUCUCAUCCUGGGGCUGUAGCCGGUCCCAAGGGUAUGGCUGUUCGCCAUUUAAAGAGGUACGUGAGCUGGGUUUAAAACGUCGUGAGACAGUUUUGUCCCUAUCUGCCGUGGGCGCUGGAAGAUUGACGGGGGCUGCUCCUAGUACGAGAGGACCGGAGUGGACUCACCUCUGGUGUACCGGUUGUCACGCCAGUGGCAUCGCCGGGUAGCUAUGUGGGGAAGAGAUAACCGCUGAAAGCAUCUAAGCGGGAAACUUGCCUGAAGAUAAGUCUUCCUGGAGGCUAGACCUCCCUAAAGAGUCGUUCGAGACCAGGACGUUGAUAGGAUGGGUGUGUAAGUGCUGUGAGGCACUCAGCUAACCAUUACUAAUUGCUCGUGAAGCUUGAUCC